UGGGGAAUAUUGCACAAUGGACGGAAGUUUGAUGCAGCGACGCCGCGUGGAGGGUGUAGGCCUUCGGGUUGUGAACUCCUUUUUCUCGCGAAAAAGGCACAGUUUUGGCUGUGUUGAUGGUAGUGGGGGAAGAAGCGCCGGCUAACUACGUGCCAGCAGCCGCGGUAAUACGUAGGGCGCGAGCGUUGUCCGGAUUUAUUGGGCGUAAAGAGCUCGUAGGUGGUUCGUCGCGUCUGUCGUGAAAGCCAGCAGCUUAACUGUUGGUCUGCGGUGGGUACGGGCGGGCUUGAGUCCGGUAGGGGUGACUGGAAUUCCUGGUGUAGCGGUGGAAUGCGCAGAUAUCAGGAGGAACACCGAUGGCGAAGGCAGGUCACUGGGCCGUUACUGACACUGAGGAGCGAAAGCGUGGGGAGCGAACAGG
Molecule: ribosomal RNA, 421 nt
Filed under: Fusobacteriota bacterium
Lineage: Bacteria; Fusobacteriati; Fusobacteriota
Description: Fusobacteria bacterium partial 16S ribosomal RNA
Rfam family: Bacterial small subunit ribosomal RNA
Source: RNAcentral